Molecule: non-coding RNA, 81 nt
Organism: Cytospora paraplurivora
Lineage: Eukaryota; Fungi; Ascomycota; Sordariomycetes; Diaporthales; Cytosporaceae
Source: the annotation of a GenBank genome assembly
UCGGAUAUGGUGUAAUGGUUAACAUCGGUGACUCUCAUCUUGAGUUCUCACCAGCUCGGGGUUCGAUUCCCCGUAUCCGAG